RNAcentral lists this ribosomal RNA (1023 nucleotides) under Triticum aestivum (bread wheat). RNAcentral describes it as "partial small subunit ribosomal RNA". The record is from RNAcentral. Lineage: Eukaryota; Viridiplantae; Streptophyta; Magnoliopsida; Poales; Poaceae.
AUGUGUGGCCUGAUGCAUGAUUUUGCACGGCUAGUUUCAAGAACUGAGUGUGGAGCUUUGGAUGGUUUGCAGCACAAUGACAUUUUGCCAACUGUACACCAUUUAUCUAUAGCAACCAAUUUUGUAUAUAGGAGGGAUGGCCAGACUGAGAACAUACCUCGUAGUGAGAAGUUUGAAUUUUUCUUGCAAAAUAUAGUCACACCAGUGAGAAAGUUGAGGACAUUGGUGUUGAUUGGGAAAUAUGACUCCUUUUUCUUCAACACAUUCCAAGAUGUGUUUGAAAAAUCACAUAAUCUGCGUCUGCUGCAAAUGUCUGCAACAUCUAUUGAUUUUAAAUCUUUCUUAUGUAGCUUGGUAAAUCCUACACGUCUCCGGUAUCUAAAACUUGAGGAUGAUAAUGCUGAGCAGCAACCUUUGCCUCAUGUUUUGAGCAAGUUUUUCCAUCUUCAGGUAUUGGAUGUUGCUUUCUUUAUGUCAUUGCAUACAGUUCAUCUAGACGAUUGCGGAGAAGGGGAGAUACUUUCAUCUCUGGAAAUGCUUCGGUUUCUGAAAAUAUUGAAGUUGAGAAACAUGCGGACUGCAACAAAAGUAUCGUUUCCAUCAUUGGAGGAGCUUGUUUUAUAUAAAAUGUCAGAUUUACGGAGAUGUUCUUGUACUUCCGUGGAUGAUAUGAAAUCUAGUUUAAGGGUGCUGGAGAUCCAGAGUUGCCCUGCACUUGAGGUGUUUGAUCUAUUUCAGAAAGUUCAUAGCUACAAAAGUGAGUAUAAGUCAUGGUUGCCCAAUCUGAGGAAACUUAUUAUGCGCAACUGUCCUCAUCUGCAAGUACAGACCCCCCUUCCACCUUCAGCCAUAUUUUGUAAACUAUCAAUUAACGAGGUUUCACCAAUUAUGACAAUGGAGGGAUCUUCCAUGGAAAAAUUAGAGUUUAGCGGAUAUAAACUUUUGUGUGAUACACUUCAUGACAAAAUUUUGGCAUUCCAUAAUCUUAAGGAUAUCAAAUACUUGGAGAUAUUGAAUUGCUAA